RNAcentral lists this ribosomal RNA (324 nucleotides) under uncultured bacterium. RNAcentral's name for it is "bacterial SSU rRNA". It matches the Rfam family "Bacterial small subunit ribosomal RNA", at positions 28 to 334 of the family's 1533-position model. The record is from RNAcentral.
GACGAACGCUGGCGGCGUGCCUAACACAUGCAAGUCGAGCGGAGCCAACCAGACAAUCCCUUCGGGGUGCGACUGGGGAAGCUUAGCGGCGGACGGGUGAGUAACGCGUGAGUAACCUGCCCAUUAGUGGGGAAUAACACAGAGAAAUUUGUGCUAAUACCGCAUACGGAACAGUUACCGCAUGGUAGCAGUUUGAAAGAUUUAUCGCUAAUGGAUGGACUCGCGUCUGAUUAGAUAGUUGGUAGGGUAACGGCCUACCAAGUCGACGAUCAGUAGCCGAACUGAGAGGUUGAUCGGCCACAUUGGGACUGAGACACGGCCCAG